This 30-nucleotide non-coding RNA is filed under the name Rattus norvegicus (Norway rat). The record is from RNAcentral. Lineage: Eukaryota; Metazoa; Chordata; Mammalia; Rodentia; Muridae.
UCCGUGAUAACCCCACCGGUCUGUGUGCCC